RNA transcript from Panicum virgatum (switchgrass), 3109 nucleotides. It is a transcript of the gene named small G protein signaling modulator 1-like, with no coding region annotated. The record is from RefSeq and is a predicted model, not a curated record. The transcript has 11 exons. Lineage: Eukaryota; Viridiplantae; Streptophyta; Magnoliopsida; Poales; Poaceae.
GUUUUCCCACGAGAUUCUAUUCGACGCCGCCGGAAUCAGACGUGCCGCAUCGUCGGCGCCCUCGCCGCCGGCGACGCGGUUGUACAGCGGACCCGGGGUCCUUGAACUGAAGUCCUCUCUGGUGGUGGUGGUGGUGGUGGUGGUGGUGGAGAGGCGUCUCCCUCGUCCUCCUGCUGCCGGCCCUCUGCUGCAGGAGCUGGACUGGCGUGGAGUGGAGAUCCAUCCACCCCGCACCUGCCACGAUCUCUUCCUUCUCGUGUCGUUGGCCGCGGAUUUGCGUGCUGUGCUGUGGCGCCGCCCUGAAAUCGAAUCCAUGGUUGGGUUCGGCUUGGUUCGUCUUCUUCAGCGCUCAGGAUCAGUCUAGCCGGCGCGCGGGCGCCGUUUGGUUGUCGGAAGACAUUUUGGAGCUCAAGUGAACCCCCAUGCCCCAGGUGAGGUCCGGCCCCGAUGGAGCCGGCGGGGAAUACAUCAAGUGGAUGUGCGGCGCCGGCGGCCGAGCGGGCGGCGCCAUGGCCAACCUCCAGCGCGGCGUCGGCUCCCUUGUCCGGGACAUCGGCGACCCCUGCCUCAACCCCUCCCCAGGGAACAGAAUGCUCAAACCAGAAAAAUGGCAGACAUGUUUUGACAGCGACGGAAGGGUUAUAUGUUUCCGGAAAGCCCUUAAAUUCAUUGUCUUAGGGGGCGUGGAUCCUUCUAUUCGAGCGGAAGUUUGGGAAUUUCUUCUUGGCUGCUAUGCCUUAAGCAGCACGUCAGAAUAUAGGGGAAAGUUAAGAGCUGCUCGAAGGGAGAGGUAUCAUUAUUUAGUUAGACAAUGCCAGAGCAUGCAUGCAAGCAUUGGUACAGGUGAGCUUGCCUACGCUAUCGGAUCGAAGCAGAUGGAUGUCAGGACUUUGCCCAAAGAAAUUUGUACUGGAGAAGAAGUCAGCACGAGUCAGCAAACUUCACAUGAAGCACCUUGCAAUGUAGUGGAAAAUUCCAAUUUGAAUUGCGGGUCUGAUGGCACACCUCAGUCUCAGAAACGAAAAGGCUGUAGUAAAUCAGCAGAACCAAUUGGUUUUAAUAUACAUAAUGAUAGCUCUGUAUAUGAUUCUUCCAGUUUUAUGGUACCUUCCACAGCGGUGAAUAGUUGCUUGAGAGAUUUCGGAGAUUAUGUUGACAUUGGUGAACCAAGGUAUGACAGUGAGACCUUCACCAAUUUACCUUCCCUGUCUGGUACAAACUUGUUUGCAAAUGGUGGUGAGAAUAGCAAUGGAGUUGAGGAAAGUCAUUGUAGUUUCUCGGUUCCUGAAGAUAGGUUAAGGCCCCGUGAUGAACGCAUGCACAGCUUCCAAAUCAAUAAUAACAUAGAUCUGAUUAUAGAGUCAAAUUCAUUCUCCAAUGAUUUGUUUCGACCUAGCAACAGUGACUCAGCCAUCUUUCACUCCGAUGCAUACAAGCAGGAUAGAUGGUUAGAUGAUGACUAUAGUAAGGAAAUUAUAGACUCCUUGAGGAUAUCUGAUGCACCAGAAGCAGAUUUAGUUGAUGGAACCAAAUCAAAUGGUUCAAUUGCCGACAAGGAUAGAAUCUCCGAAUGGCUUUGGACACUGCAUCGAAUUGUGGUCGAUGUGGUGAGAACAGAUAGUCACCUUGAUUUCUUUGGAGAAUCAAGGAAUAUGGCUAGAAUGUCUGAUAUACUUGCAGUUUAUGCAUGGGUUGAUCCCUCCACUGGAUACUGUCAAGGUAUGAGUGAUCUGCUGUCACCUUUUGUUGUUAUAUAUGAGGAUGAUGCGGAUGCCUUUUGGUGCUUUGAGAUGCUACUGAGAAGGAUGCGUGAAAAUUUCCAGAUGGAGGGACCAACGGGAGUUAUGAAGCAGUUGCAAGCAUUGUGGAAGAUCAUGGAACUGACAGAUGUUGAAUUAUUUGAACAUUUGUCGGCAAUUGGUGCUGAAAGCCUUCAUUUCGCUUUCCGGAUGCUGCUAGUGCUUUUUCGCCGGGAGCUAUCUUUUGAGGAAUCACUGAUCAUGUGGGAGAUGAUGUGGGCUGCUGAUUUUGAUGAAGAAGCAAUCAGGCGUUUAGAAGAGAACUGUCUAGGACCAUUGCUGGUUGAUCUGAGGACUGAUUUAUCAUGUGAAGUUAAAGAAGUGCCUCGGAUGAACAGUUCCACGAGAAGAAAAUCCAAAACCAGGAAAACCCAUCGUAGGAAUGGUGAAAUCUGUGGAGCUUGCCACCCUGGAACGAGAUCCAGUACAAGAAAUCAUCUUUGUGGUUUGUCAGGUGCUACUAUAUGGGCAAGGCCUCAGCAGAUGCCACAACUGAGUGCAAAUGUGCUGGCAAGGAGUGGAGAUGACGAACUGCCUAUUUUCUGUGUAGCGGCAAUCUUGAUAAUCAAUCGCCACAGGAUAAUUAGAGGGACCCGCUCAAUAGAUGAUGCAAUCAAGGCAAGUUCAGAAACUACUUUCUUUCUUGUCAAUUCAAUCUUUGUGUUUUUGAAAUCAUUGCUUGUAGCUAUUUAUUCAAUUGCAAUGGACAUUCUUCAGAUGUUCAACGACAAUGUGCUAAAAAUCAAUGUAAAAAGAUGCGUACGCUUGGCCAUCAAGCUGAGGAAGAAGUACUUGUACAAGUCAUUGAAAGGAGGCUCGAGUGAUGAUAAAGAAAGUUGAAGGGCCUGCAUUUCCGUUGUAGAAAAAUACUAGGUAUUUCUCCAUCAUGCAUUACUGACUAGGGUUGGUGAAGCGGUAUUGGCCAGAAGUUCAACACAUCUCCAAGAUCCGUUACUCAGCAUUGCAAGGAAACAUGUACAUACUAGUAUACUUGAACACAACAGAUGAAGCUGUUGAAGUAAAGAAGAAGAAAAAAAGAAUUGAUUCCACCGUGCUGCUGUAUUACUGGUGUUGUCAUUGUUUUCGUUGUGCCCAUUUGGCAGGGAUAAUGCACGUGAUGAUUGUAUUUAUCGAUCUGGAGGUUUGAGUGGGGUGUGCCCUGUGCAGGGCAUGCAAAUCACACGGAAGAACGGAACAGAAAAAGAAAGGGUUGAAGUGUACAAAGUGUGAACCGGGCAAUCCAUUCUUUGGAGCAAAACUAGUUUAAGCGGUUUCACGUCGUUAUGAAUGCAAAUUAUUUCAUAUUAUUA